GCAGUUUUUAAGGUGUUUUUAGUGACGUGUUCUCCUAAGACCUAUCAAGUUUUUAGUCAAGAUUUUGGGGUGAAUUCGGUGUGUUUUUAUUUAGGACAAACUUAGACACAGUUUGUAGAGAUGUUCUUACUCCUAUGAUCUAUCAGGAUUUUAGUCAAAAAUUUGAGGUGAAUUUGGGGUGUUUUUAUUUAGGACACUCUUAGACACAGCUUUUGGAGAUGUUCUGCCUCCUAUGACCUC
RNAcentral lists this small RNA (240 nucleotides) under Vigna angularis var. angularis. RNAcentral's name for it is "Non-protein coding transcript". The record is from RNAcentral. Lineage: Eukaryota; Viridiplantae; Streptophyta; Magnoliopsida; Fabales; Fabaceae.